UGAGAAAAUUAUGCAGGUGGAAG
Molecule: non-coding RNA, 23 nt
Filed under: Drosophila melanogaster (fruit fly)
Lineage: Eukaryota; Metazoa; Arthropoda; Insecta; Diptera; Drosophilidae
Source: RNAcentral